RNAcentral lists this transfer RNA (74 nucleotides) under Phocaeicola plebeius. RNAcentral's name for it is "tRNA-Arg". It matches the Rfam family "tRNA". From Rfam's summary of the family: Transfer RNA (tRNA) molecules are approximately 80 nucleotides in length. Their secondary structure includes four short double-helical elements and three loops (D, anti-codon, and T loops). Lineage: Bacteria; Pseudomonadati; Bacteroidota; Bacteroidia; Bacteroidales; Bacteroidaceae. The record is from RNAcentral.
GGUUUCGUAGCUCAACUGGAUAGAGCAUCGCCCUUCUAAGGCGAGGGUUUCGGGUUCGACUCCCGACGAAAUCA